AGCUCCAAUAGCGUAUAUUAAAGUUGUUGCAGUUAAAAAGCUCGUAGUUGGAUUUCGGAAUGGGCCAGUUGGUCCGCCGCAAGGUGAGUUACUGACUGGUUUGUUCUUCUUCGCAAAGACUGCGUGUGCUCUUUACUGAGUGUACGUAGGAUUUACGACGUUUACUUUGAAAAAAUUAGAGUGUUCAAAGCAGGCUAUCGCUUGAAUACAUGAGCAUGGAAUAAUGGAAUAGGACUUUGGUUCUAUUUUUUUGGUUUCUAGGACCGAAGUAAUGAUUAAGAGGGACAAUUGGGGGCAUCCGUAUUUCGUUGUCAGAGGUGAAAUUCUUGGAUUUACGAAAGACAAACAACUGCGAAAGCACUUGCCAAGAGUGUGUUCA
This 379-nucleotide ribosomal RNA is filed under the name marine Metazoa environmental sample. RNAcentral's name for it is "SSU rRNA". It matches the Rfam family "Eukaryotic small subunit ribosomal RNA", at positions 587 to 972 of the family's 1831-position model. The record is from RNAcentral. Lineage: Eukaryota; Metazoa.